AAAGCUCAAAUUUAAAAUCUGGCGGUUUUGCCGUCCGAGUUGUAAUCUGGAGAAGCGUUUUCCGCGUUGGACCGUGUACAAGUCUCUUGGAACAGAGCGUCAUAGAGGGUGAGAAUCCCGUCUUUGACACGGACUACCAAUGCUUUGUGAUACGCUCUCAAAGAGUCGAGUUGUUUGGGAAUGCAGCUCAAAAUGGGUGGUAAAUUCCAUCUAAAGCUAAAUAUUGGCGAGAGACCGAUAGCGAA
RNAcentral lists this ribosomal RNA (245 nucleotides) under Cotylidia undulata. RNAcentral describes it as "partial 28S ribosomal RNA". It matches the Rfam family "Eukaryotic large subunit ribosomal RNA", at positions 104 to 344 of the family's 3401-position model. The record is from RNAcentral. Lineage: Eukaryota; Fungi; Basidiomycota; Agaricomycetes; Hymenochaetales.